UAUGGCUCAGGAUGAACGCUAGCGACAGGCCUACACAUGCAAGUCGAGGGGCAGCGCGGGAGAAGCUUGCUUUCCUGGCGGCGACCGGCGCACGGGUGCGUAACAGGUGUGCAAUCUGUCCAUAGUCGGGGGAUAGCCCAGCGAAAGCUGAAUUAAUACUCCAUGUGAAUCGAAGCCGCAUGACUUUGAUUUGAAACGCAAGGACUAUGGGUGAGCACGCUUCUGAUUAGAUAGUUGGUGGGGUAACGGCUCACCAAGUCGACGAUCAGUAGGGGUUCUGAGAGGAAGGUCCCCCCACAUUGGAACUGAGACACGGUCCAAACUCCUACGGGAGGCAGCAGUGAGGAAUAUUGGUCAAUGGGCGAGAGCCUGAACCAGCCAAGUCGCGUGAAGGAUGAAGGUUCUAUGGAUUGUAAACUUCUUUUGUCCGAGGGUAAAAAAGGCCACGUGUGGCUUCUUGCAAGUAUCGGACGAAUAAGCAUCGGCUAACUCCGUGCCAGCCGCCGC
Molecule: ribosomal RNA, 507 nt
Filed under: uncultured bacterium
Lineage: Bacteria
Description: bacterial SSU rRNA
Rfam family: Bacterial small subunit ribosomal RNA
Source: RNAcentral